Non-coding RNA from Gymnothorax javanicus (giant moray), 71 nucleotides. NCBI's taxonomy places the organism in Eukaryota, Metazoa, Chordata, Actinopteri, Anguilliformes, Muraenidae. The record is from the annotation of a GenBank genome assembly.
UCCUAUAUGGUCUAGCGUUAGGGAUUCCUGGUUUUCCACCCAGGCGCCCAGGGUUCAACUCCGUGUGGGAA